CCUGCUCCUAGAGGCAUUUGUAGAUAUGGCUGCUAGUCACAUGUGGGUCAGUGGAUGACUGAGAGGGGAGAAGCCAUGUCUAUGCUCAGCGCUCUGACCUUUGAACAUCUGAAUGAUUAGUAACCUAACAUU
Molecule: small nucleolar RNA, 132 nt
Filed under: Mus spicilegus (steppe mouse)
Lineage: Eukaryota; Metazoa; Chordata; Mammalia; Rodentia; Muridae
Description: Small nucleolar RNA SNORA17 (ENSMSIG00000011064.1)
Rfam family: Small nucleolar RNA SNORA17
About the family: snoRNA ACA 17 belongs to the H/ACA family of snoRNAs and is predicted to guide pseudouridylation of the 28S rRNA at positions U4659 and U4598. It shares the same host gene together with ACA43.
Source: Rfam by way of RNAcentral